UUGAAAGGGAAACGAUUGAAGUUGCAGUCGUACUCGCGGGAAUCAACCUUUCGAGUGGUGUUUUGGAGUUUUGAAGUGUGUCAAAACCUUUGAGAUUUUAAAAUUUUCGCUCUUUUGGUGUACUUUCUCGUGGGUAGGUUAACAUCGAUUUUGAUCAUCAUAAAAAGACUGGAGGAAUGUAGCUUCGAUCUUGUAUUGAAGUGUUAUAGCCUUUGGUAAAUGUGAUGAUUAGGAUCGAGGAUUGCAACGAAUACCCUUCUGGGCUAUCCGCCUGAUCUCUGAUACGUGGCCUUGGCAUCGAAAGCUUGCUUAUGGUAUCAAGGUAUUACGGUCAAAAGGUUAGAACGGAUUACAUUCGUUAAGGAUGUUGACGUA
RNAcentral lists this ribosomal RNA (375 nucleotides) under uncultured Glomeromycotina. RNAcentral describes it as "LSU rRNA". The record is from RNAcentral. Lineage: Eukaryota; Fungi; Glomeromycota.